Molecule: ribosomal RNA, 516 nt
Filed under: uncultured bacterium
Lineage: Bacteria
Description: bacterial SSU rRNA
Rfam family: Bacterial small subunit ribosomal RNA
Source: RNAcentral
AGAGUUGAUCAUGGCUCAGGAUGAACGCUAGCGACAGGCUAACACAUGCAAGUCGAGGGGCAGCAUAAAAGUAGCAAUACUUGGUGGCGACCGGCGCACGGGUGAGUAACGCGUAUGCAACCUACCUAUCGAGAGGGGAAUAACCCGGCGAAAGUCGGACUAAUACCGCAUAAAACAGGGGCACCGCAUGGUGAUAUUUGUUAAAGAAAUUCGCUGAUAGAUGGGCAUGCGUUCCAUUAGGUAGUUGGUGAGGUAACGGCUCACCAAGCCGACGAUGGAUAGGGGAACUGAGAGGUUGGUCCCCCACACUGGUACUGAGACACGGACCAGACUCCUACGGGAGGCAGCAGUGAGGAAUAUUGGUCAAUGGGCGAGAGCCUGAACCAGCCAAGUCGCGUGAAGGAAGAAGGAUCUAUGGUUCGUAAACUUCUUUUGCAGGGGAAUAAAGUGCAGGACGUGUCCUGUUUUGUAUGUACCCUGAGAAUAAGGAUCGGCUAACUCCGUGCCAGCAGCCGC